This 171-nucleotide long non-coding RNA is filed under the name Dermacentor andersoni. RNAcentral's name for it is "uncharacterized LOC126540631". Lineage: Eukaryota; Metazoa; Arthropoda; Arachnida; Ixodida; Ixodidae. The record is from RNAcentral.
ACGCGAGAAAGCUGUCUCAAGAGGCUCAAGAAUAUGCGAGGAUCACUUCACACCUGAUCAGUUUCUUGAUCAAGGAAGGAAUGGAAAAAAACGAUUAAAGGCAAAUGCUGUCCCUAGCAUAUUUUCUUACGACUCAGUACUGCAAGAUGCACCUGUUGCACCCCAGGCUGC